UACAGAGGGUGCAAGCGUUAAUCGGAAUUACUGGGCGUAAAGAGUCUGUAGGCGGAUUAUUAAGUCGGAUGUGAAAUCCCUGGGCUUAACCUAGGAGCGGCAUUCGAUACUGGUAGUCUAGAGUGUGCAAGAGGAUGGGGGAAUUCCUGGUGUAGCAGUGAAAUGCGUAGAGAUCAGGAGGAACAUCAAUGGCGAAGGCACCUUUCUGGGGCAACACUGACGCUGAGAGACGAAAGCGUGGGGAGCAAACAGGAUUAGAUACCCCCGUAGUCC
This 273-nucleotide ribosomal RNA is filed under the name uncultured bacterium. Its description in RNAcentral is "partial 16S ribosomal RNA". It matches the Rfam family "Bacterial small subunit ribosomal RNA", at positions 524 to 796 of the family's 1533-position model. The record is from RNAcentral.